UUUUGUAUGUGGCUGGGUACAGUUAACUAGAAAAGGGCCUCAAUACAUUAUAAAAUCUUUGAUGUGAUCCUUAUUUCUUUAUAAAUAUUAAAUGUCAGUGUCCUUGAUCAAUAAUUUUUCUUAGUAGUGCCCUGUUCUUCCCAUUUCAAAGAUGAGUGAGGAAACUAAGCAGCAGUUCCUAAACUGAAGACUGAAGGUUUCUGGGAGUUUCUGCUGUUAAAGAUAGUUACCAGCCAGUCUUGUCUGGUCAACAGGGAUUCCAAGGCCUAAUAGGAGUGCAGCAGCCACCUCAGAGUCAGAACGUGAUGAAUAACCAACAAGGAACUCCGGUGCAAAGCGUGAUGGUUUCCUACCCAACAAUGUCUUCUUAUCAGGUGCCAAUGACCCAGGGUUCUCAAGGACUGCCCCAGCAGUCAUAC
Molecule: small RNA, 419 nt
Filed under: Pongo abelii (Sumatran orangutan)
Lineage: Eukaryota; Metazoa; Chordata; Mammalia; Primates; Hominidae
Description: processed transcript
Source: RNAcentral